UGUAGGCGGGUGCUGGGGUGGGAGUGAGAAGUGAGCAUGCGCAUUGCUUUAGCUGUGUCUGUGGAGGCUGGCGUUUACAACGGUAUCGAUUAUCCUAAUGGGUGCAAGCUUUCAGUGAGGAUUUCAGGGUGUGGCGAGAUCAGGAAAACCUAUGAAUUCCUGAAGAGAGAGGAGUGGAGGUCAAGGAAACAGCCUCUGUACCCCGGAGUCACGCCAUUGGACAAUCUUCGUCACAACUGACUAUGCACCCCAACAGCAGCACCGUUCCCUGUGUUGUGUGCCGAGUGUCACACGAAUCAGACCCUUGACUGUCUUGAAUCGUCUCACUGUAACCAUGGAGGUCUCCAGUACAGGCGGCCUUCCAAAUAUGCUGACAGUGCCACCGAUCAAAAAUGCUGGGGGGGGGGCACGGCAUUUGUGGUGAACACCCGUUUUCCCUAAACGGCAAAGCGUCACCGCCAUGCUCCUUGUGUUGACGCUGUGUUAGGUGCAAUGAACAAUCCAGAGGAGACUUAAGGAAGUCGGGAGAAUGUGCACAGGUCAUACGCAACUGCAGCAUCAUUCUAUAAAACACUGGAGCUGCCACAGAAAUGUCCCAGUGACAGCACCCAGUACGAAGUAGGUGCCUCAUAGGUUCAAGAGCCAAUGCCUUAAUAAUGACACACCACUGUCGCAGGGCAAAGGUCCCUCCAUCUCGCCUCAGCUGAAGCCAUCUUUGGUUUCUACCCGCUGCCCAGAAAAUUCCAGUGGGAAGGCACAGAACCCUGUUCUGGAAACUCAGACAGAAACGUCCCAGCUAACUGCGUGUUCUUGUCUCCUGUUAAUCGGCUUGCUUCCCCCUGCAACCGCCAACCAGCACCUAGCUUUCCCGUGUUGUUUGUCUUUAAAAGUCCCCUCUGCUCAGCAUUUGGGCAUGCUCUGUGGGAAGUGUUUCUCUCCAGGCAGUCACCAGCCUGUGCAAUACAGAUUCUCAACUCGAACUUUGGUCAGGCUGAGUGGUCGUUGGGUCUUCAUCCCAUAACAUUACCACUGAGACUCUUUGAACAGCCACGGUACUAACGGUCAUCAUGCCGGUGACAGCAGUGCCAGUGACGAUGGGAAUUGGAUUAGCCAGGGGUUAUGGCUGGUGUUAAUCUAAUGGUGUCAGUCUAAGUGGUAGAUUCCAGACUCUGCUGCCAACCCCCCUCCACUCUUGGUGGCCUGACACUUAUGUUUGCUUUGAUGCUAAGUAUGCGGUGGUGGUUGGGAGUGUGUCUUCUCAACAAGCAGGACUUGAGGACCUGUCCCCUUCCAUUUUGUGACUGUCGCCUUAACCAAGGAGCUUUUGAAGUCAUUGUGGAAGGGGAAGAGAAAGUGUGGCAAUAGGUCAGAGGCGGUGAGGAGCUCCCUAUUGGCCACAAUUCUCCUGACCUGACUGCGAGGGAGAUCCGGUGGUCUUGCGUGCCCGGGGAAAAGAGGAAACAGGAUUGGGGAGCCAUUGUGCAAGCUGCGGAGGGAGGCUGUAAGCCUGGAGGUCUAUCUGGAAGUCACAGAAUGGAUGGCGGUGCUGCAGAAACAGGGUGGAGACCCCGGGAGUCAAGGAUCAUUUCAGGUCAGCAGCACAGGGCUGCUGUCCAUGGCUCUCCCAUCCUCUGGGGUUUACGUUGGUUAGACUACAAAGAAGUCAUUUGGGAAGCCGACAAUUGGCUAAAGGGCUAGAGCCAGGCAUUUACAAGAAAGGGAGCAGCAUGAGAGAAAACAACGUGUCUAGUGCCAAUCACCUUAGGUGAGAACUUUGGUUUCUUCAUGCAGCCCUGUUUGCCUCCCCCUGGUGGCCACUAUAGGCAAUUGCAGUUCCUUUCUUGGAGAAGAGCAUUGGUAGCUUGAACAAGAUGGUGUUACUCACUAUCUCCUCACUCACCUGAGAAUCCUGACGUCAAACUCCCAGCAGAUGACACACCCUGUUCCAACGACAGCUCUGGUGACAUUUCCUGAGGAAUAACAGUGACACCAAAUCCAGCAUAGAAACCAAGAAAGGUCAUUCGACUGCUCCCUGCCCUUUGGGAUUCGGCCCUCUGACUUUUCCUUCAGCGACACUGACAGAUUCCCUCCCCCUUUCUGUGCCAUUGUUUCUUGGGGAGUCAUAUCACAAAACAACGGUGACGACUGCACUUUAAGCGCCUUUGUUGACUUCCCACAAUCUAGUCCAUUCUAGCUGCAUCUCCUAGGCCUACCGUGCGCAUUGAAACAUGGUUUUAAUGCAUCUGAAAACCUGACAUGCGCAUGUCAGGAAACGGAGGCACAUCGAGCCUGUGUGAUUUGCAGAGAGCGCCAUUGCUUGUUUGUGGCAGACCCUGUGCUAGGGUGGUAAGACACUUUCCUCACACCGUACUGUACCAGUCGUGACCAUGACUGUGCGGGACGGCGUUUUAAAACACCCCCGGCCAUUCCGGCCCAGAUGGCCUGUAUCGUUCGCACUGGUGAUCUCUGGCAUAGCAGAGAAGCACUGAAUUGCCCCUCCUCAAGGCUCAGGGAUCUCUGCAGAAGAGGGAGCAGAUGUAUCGUAGCAACCAGAGAUGGCGGAUGACUUCGAGGGAGCUGUUUUCCAGACACCACAGGGAAGAUGCUCAUUUGAGCUCGCAGCAAUUGUGACAACACGGUACAUGUGAUGUGACAACUUCUUCGAGCUCCUACUUCCUUGAUUUCCCUGUCAUAAUGGACCACACCUUUGAAUUGUGAGCCAGAAUAAAGCCUUUCUUCCUUAA
Mesocricetus auratus (golden hamster) is the source of this 2744-nucleotide long non-coding RNA. RefSeq lists it as uncharacterized. Lineage: Eukaryota; Metazoa; Chordata; Mammalia; Rodentia; Cricetidae. The transcript is spliced from 3 exons. The record is from RefSeq and is a predicted model, not a curated record.